RNAcentral lists this long non-coding RNA (637 nucleotides) under Salmo salar (Atlantic salmon). Its description in RNAcentral is "lncRNA (ENSSSAG00000092322.1)". Lineage: Eukaryota; Metazoa; Chordata; Actinopteri; Salmoniformes; Salmonidae. The record is from RNAcentral.
CUAGAGUGCUCGGUGUAAGAGCCAGGGUCCUGACCCGCCACCUCAAAGAUACACCGGCGGAACGAAGUGACCGCUGCUGGGAAUCAAUAGACGAGACACGGCACUACUGGAUCAAGUCGACUUUCUGCAUGAAGGAUUGUGAAUUGAGCACGCCUGAAACCUUCCGGAAUUUUUGCUGGCCCAUAUGGUUCAUCUAUGUGAUCAGUCAACCCUCUAUAUCAGAUCCUCCCGAGGACGCUUGAUGUCAUCUUGUCCUCCUGGUCAUUAUACUACCUGCUCCUCUCAACAAUACUGCCUUCUCGCUGCUUCUCCACUUGAACUGCCUGGCUGGCCCUCUUCUCUCAAACCAUGGUCGUCUUGUUUGUUCAAGCCUUCCACAGUUUUGUUUCUCAGCUCCUGCCUUUUCCGGUUUUUAUUUUCUCGCCCUCCUGGUUUUGACGCACGCCUGCCUGACCACUCUGCCUGUCCCUGAGCCCGCCUACCGUCCUGUACCUUUGCCACUACUGUGGAUUAUCAACCCCUGCCUGCCUUGACCUGUCGUUUGCCUGCCCCUGUUGUUACAAUAAACAUUGUUACCUCUACACAGUCUGCACUUGGGUCUUACCCUGAUUCCUGAUAGAGAUGUGUGAUUUACAAG